CGGGCUUAAGGAUGAUGUUGCAAGCUGCACAUGCAUCCGGCCUCUAGUAGUCGUCCAUACGAGCCCACGAAUCUCGAUCAGAAGUCCUGCUUCAGGAAAUCAGCACAGUAUGCUAGUACUGUGCUGAUCCUUCUUUGAUGGUUGAUCAGGUACCUCCUUCUUCUUGAUUUGGACUCUUCCAAAGAUGGAAAGUAGAAGGAGGAGUUUCAAAUCUGAGACGCUCUCAGAAAACUCAAGAUGG
This 241-nucleotide long non-coding RNA is filed under the name Elaeis guineensis (African oil palm). RNAcentral's name for it is "long non-coding RNA (EGUI_LNC069589)". The record is from RNAcentral. Lineage: Eukaryota; Viridiplantae; Streptophyta; Magnoliopsida; Arecales; Arecaceae.